This is a non-coding RNA of Xenopus laevis (African clawed frog), 72 nucleotides long. The record is from Rfam. Lineage: Eukaryota; Metazoa; Chordata; Amphibia; Anura; Pipidae.
AAUGAGUGAUGACGAUAUUUUUCGGUCCCAAAUGAUGAUUGAUGAUUUUUGCUUUGAAAUCGUUCUAACUUU